This 97-nucleotide microRNA precursor is filed under the name Nomascus leucogenys (northern white-cheeked gibbon). RNAcentral describes it as "miRNA (ENSNLEG00000032189.1)". The record is from RNAcentral. Lineage: Eukaryota; Metazoa; Chordata; Mammalia; Primates; Hylobatidae.
AGGUGGGAGGAUUGCUUGAGCCCAGGAGGUGGAGGUUGCAGUGAGCUGAGAUCACGCCACUGCACACCAGUCUGGGCAACAGAGUGAGACCCUGUCU